AUGGAAAGCUCCGAGUUAUCAAAAAAAAAGAUGGAAAGCUCCGAUUUGUCUCUCUCUCAAAAAAAAAAAGAGAUGGAAGCUCCGAUACGAACCAAUCUCGAAAUCGAAAACGGAAACAAGUAUGGCAGUCCUACUCCGGCCAGGACACGGUCACCCAUGGCGACGAUUAAUACCAACACAUGGCCGCGCGCACAUUCAGAUGUCAGCCGAUCGAUCUCGGGAGCAAGUGCAAGCUUGAUGGCGUGGCUUGCCAUGGACGUCGGCGAGGACUACCUGCAUCUGCCGCAAGACCACGACGAGGACUACCUGCAUCUGCCGCACGACCACGACUACGACGAGUACACGAGGGAAGCGCUCUCCGCCGCCGAAGCGCUGCUGUUCCUGCACCCGCGGCCGCCGGGCGCCGCGGAAUACGCGGCCGGCAUCAUCCCACGCGUCGGCGUCGCGGCUGCUCCACGCGACUCGGAGUUGGCGGCGGCGGUGGCAAAAGCGCUGACGACAGUGGACGGGCCGUCCGACGACCGCGGCUGCCCGAUCUGCAUGGACGACGACGAAGUGGCGUGGAAGGAGACGAAGCCGUGCGGGCACCGGUUCCACGGACGGUGCGUGGAGCCGUGGCUCAAGGCCAAGGGGAGCUGCCCCAUGUGCCGGCGCCAGGUGGUGGCGAGGCCGACGCAGAGCAGUUCAUGGACGAUUCUCUCCAGCGGUAGACGCUUGCCCUCGUCGUGA
This 729-nucleotide ribosomal RNA is filed under the name Triticum aestivum (bread wheat). RNAcentral describes it as "partial small subunit ribosomal RNA". Lineage: Eukaryota; Viridiplantae; Streptophyta; Magnoliopsida; Poales; Poaceae. The record is from RNAcentral.